UUAGGUGGCUAGAAUUCCACUCUCUUUGCAACAUUUCAAAGUGUUCUUGAGGACAAUGAAGAAGAGAUGGUAACUACUUUUGUUGCAACCUUGUUGUUUGCACUUCAAGAUUUUGCUGUUAAAUUGUAAGAUUAUUGCUGCAUAAUUAAAUCAUGUUCUUUUGAUCUAUAUCAUGUGAAGGAUGAAUCUACUUCAAUUAUCACUCAAGAAUGAAGACUUGGAGCUACUGGUUGGCGGCUGCGAUAGAAAGCACAUUUGUUAUUUAAUAAAAUCAUCUUUCAAUAUUUGGAGAUGUACUUUUUUGUUUUACAUAAUUUUGCACUGCUAUAUGGGCUACUCAUGUAAUAAGGAUAUUUACUGCUGCGUGUGAUUGUUUGACCAUUGGUUUUGCGAACACAGUCAGAUUAUUU
Molecule: long non-coding RNA, 410 nt
Filed under: Triticum aestivum (bread wheat)
Lineage: Eukaryota; Viridiplantae; Streptophyta; Magnoliopsida; Poales; Poaceae
Description: long non-coding RNA (TAES_LNC025558)
Source: RNAcentral